RNAcentral lists this ribosomal RNA (433 nucleotides) under uncultured bacterium. Its description in RNAcentral is "partial 16S ribosomal RNA". It matches the Rfam family "Bacterial small subunit ribosomal RNA", at positions 29 to 507 of the family's 1533-position model. The record is from RNAcentral.
AACGAACGCUGGCGGCAUGCCUAACACAUGCAAGUCGAACGAGACCUUCGGGUCUAGUGGCGCACGGGUGCGUAACGCGUGGGAACCUGCCCUUAGGUUCGGAAUAACUCCCCGAAAGGGGUGCUAAUACCGGAUAAUGUCUUCGGACCAAAGAUUUAUCGCCUUUGGAUGGGCCCGCGUUGGAUUAGCUAGUUGGUAGGGUAAAAGCCUACCAAGGCGACGAUCCAUAGCUGGUCUGAGAGGAUGAUCAGCCACACUGGGACUGAGACACGGCCCAGACUCCUACGGGAGGCAGCAGUGGGGAAUAUUGGACAAUGGGCGAAAGCCUGAUCCAGCAAUGACGCGUGAGUGAUGAAGGCCUUAGGGUUGUAAAGCUCUUUUAACCGGGAUGAUAAUGACAGUACCGGGAGAAUAAGCGCCGGCUAACUACGUG